UACAGAGGUCUCAAGCGUUGUUCGGAUUCAUUGGGCGUAAAGCGUGCGCAGGCGGUUCGUUGUGUCGGUGGUGAAAUCCCCGGGCUUAACCUGGGAAUGGCCAUGGAAACUGGCGAACUGGAGUGUGGCAGAGGGGGGUGGAAUUCCGCGUGUAGCAGUGAAAUGCGUAGAGAUGCGGAGGAACACCGAUGGCGAAGGCAGCCCCCUGGGCUAGCACUGACGCUCAGGCACGAAAGCGUGGGGAGCAAACAGG
This 253-nucleotide ribosomal RNA is filed under the name uncultured bacterium. Its description in RNAcentral is "partial 16S ribosomal RNA". It matches the Rfam family "Bacterial small subunit ribosomal RNA", at positions 524 to 776 of the family's 1533-position model. The record is from RNAcentral.